Molecule: ribosomal RNA, 1342 nt
Filed under: uncultured bacterium
Lineage: Bacteria
Description: bacterial SSU rRNA
Rfam family: Bacterial small subunit ribosomal RNA
Source: RNAcentral
GACGAACGCUGGCGGCGUGCUUAACACAUGCAAGUCGAACGAUGAUGCCCAGCUUGCUGGGUGGAUUAGUGGCGAACGGGUGAGUAACACGUGAGUAACCUGCCCCUGACUCUGGGAUAAGCGUUGGAAACGACGUCUAAUACUGGAUAUGAUCACUGGCCGCAUGGUCUGGUGGUGGAAAGAUUUUUUGGUUGGGGAUGGACUCGCGGCCUAUCAGCUUGUUGGUGAGGUAAUGGCUCACCAAGGCGACGACGGGUAGCCGGCCUGAGAGGGUGACCGGCCACACUGGGACUGAGACACGGCCCAGACUCCUACGGGAGGCAGCAGUGGGGAAUAUUGCACAAUGGGCGAAAGCCUGAUGCAGCAACGCCGCGUGAGGGAUGACGGCCUUCGGGUUGUAAACCUCUUUUAGUAGGGAAGAAGCGAAAGUGACGGUACCUGCAGAAAAAGCACCGGCUAACUACGUGCCAGCAGCCGCGGUAAUACGUAGGGUGCAAGCGUUGUCCGGAAUUAUUGGGCGUAAAGAGCUCGUAGGCGGUUUGUCGCGUCUGCUGUGAAAUCCCGAGGCUCAACCUCGGGCUUGCAGUGGGUACGGGCAGACUAGAGUGCGGUAGGGGAGAUUGGAAUUCCUGGUGUAGCGGUGGAAUGCGCAGAUAUCAGGAGGAACACCGAUGGCGAAGGCAGAUCUCUGGGCCGUAACUGACGCUGAGGAGCGAAAGCAUGGGGAGCAAACAGGAUUAGAUACCCUGGUAGUCCAUGCCGUAAACGUUGGGCGCUAGAUGUAGGGACCUUUCCACGGUUUCUGUGUCGUAGCUAACGCAUUAAGCGCCCCGCCUGGGGAGUACGGCCGCAAGGCUAAAACUCAAAGGAAUUGACGGGGGCCCGCACAAGCGGCGGAGCAUGCGGAUUAAUUCGAUGCAACGCGAAGAACCUUACCAAGGCUUGACAUACACCGGAAACGGCCAGAGAUGGUCGCCCCCUUGUGGUCGGUGUACAGGUGGUGCAUGGUUGUCGUCAGCUCGUGUCGUGAGAUGUUGGGUUAAGUCCCGCAACGAGCGCAACCCUCGUUCUAUGUUGCCAGCGGGUUAUGCCGGGGACUCAUAGGAGACUGCCGGGGUCAACUCGGAGGAAGGUGGGGAUGACGUCAAAUCAUCAUGCCCCUUAUGUCUUGGGCUUCACGCAUGCUACAAUGGCCGGUACAAAGGGCUGCGAUACCGUAAGGUGGAGCGAAUCCCAAAAAGCCGGUCUCAGUUCGGAUUGAGGUCUGCAACUCGACCUCAUGAAGUCGGAGUCGCUAGUAAUCGCAGAUCAGCAACGCUGCGGUGAAUACGUUCCCGGGCCU